AUGUGACUCAAUGGUAGAGUGCUUGCUUGGCAGGCAUGAUGCCCUGGGUUCAAUCCCCAGCAU
This 63-nucleotide transfer RNA is filed under the name Ictidomys tridecemlineatus (thirteen-lined ground squirrel). RNAcentral's name for it is "Spermophilus tridecemlineatus (thirteen-lined ground squirrel) tRNA". It matches the Rfam family "tRNA", at positions 5 to 66 of the family's 71-position model. Rfam says of the family: Transfer RNA (tRNA) molecules are approximately 80 nucleotides in length. Their secondary structure includes four short double-helical elements and three loops (D, anti-codon, and T loops). The record is from Rfam by way of RNAcentral. Lineage: Eukaryota; Metazoa; Chordata; Mammalia; Rodentia; Sciuridae.